This 205-nucleotide unclassified non-coding RNA is filed under the name Hevea brasiliensis (rubber tree). Lineage: Eukaryota; Viridiplantae; Streptophyta; Magnoliopsida; Malpighiales; Euphorbiaceae. The record is from RNAcentral.
GGAAACUGUACCCAUGCCGCGAAUGGUACGGACCUUCCUGAAAUUGUGCAAAGCGUUCCUUGUGGUGUACCCCCAUCACCAUACAGUUUCCGCAGCCGAAAAUCCCCUCAAGAGGACCUCGGUUCGGGAGACGCUGAAUGACUGUUGCAAGGCACGGGGCAAACCGCAGUUCGCGGAUUGCAGGAUUUCACCGCAAGUCGCCGCA